Tachyglossus aculeatus (Australian echidna) is the source of this 285-nucleotide long non-coding RNA. RefSeq lists it as uncharacterized. NCBI's taxonomy places the organism in Eukaryota, Metazoa, Chordata, Mammalia, Monotremata, Tachyglossidae. The transcript has 3 exons. The record is from RefSeq and is a predicted model, not a curated record.
GAAUAAGAUCAUCACUUAUUGGCUCUCCCACAUGGUCAAAUGAUUUUUCUCCACAUCUCAGCAUCCCUGCCUGAAAAUUUGGAAAACUUGAAACAAGCGAUUGGGUGAUUAUGCCCCCUGUGCCAAGAGUCUUCAUUCUGAGGAUGAAAUGUCUCCACAGGAGAAUUGGUUCCCAUUGAGACCCUGGGGUUGUAAGAACUUGGAACUCCUCAGAUGAAAGGCGUCUAGGAAAGUCAACUCUGGAGAUAAGAUAUCAUGUCACAACCCCAUCUGAACAAUUUAAAU